CGGAGGAUCCAAGCGUUAUCCGGAAUCAUUGGGUUUAAAGGGUCCGUAGGCGGUUUUGUAAGUCAGUGGUGAAAGCCCAUCGCUCAACGGUGGAACGGCCAUUGAUACUGCAAGACUUGAAUUAUUGGGAAGCAACUAGAAUAUGUAGUGUAGCGGUGAAAUGCUUAGAUAUUACAUGGAAUACCAAUUGCGAAGGCAGGUUGCUACCAAUACAUUGACGCUGAUGGACGAAAGCGUGGGGAGCGAACAGGAUUAGAUACCCUGGUAGUCCACGCCGUAAACGAUGGAUACUAGCUGUUCGGAGCAAUCUGAGUGGCUAAGCGAAAGUGAUAAGUAUCCCACCUGGGGAGUACGUUCGCAAGAAUG
RNAcentral lists this ribosomal RNA (366 nucleotides) under uncultured organism. RNAcentral describes it as "bacterial SSU rRNA". It matches the Rfam family "Bacterial small subunit ribosomal RNA", at positions 526 to 896 of the family's 1533-position model. The record is from RNAcentral.